CUGAAAACCUACAGGACAGUAGAUCUCCAGGAAGAGGGUUGGGCAGCCCUGUGUUAGAGGGAACACUCGCAGCACCACUAACCUUGACUGAGGGGAAUGGGGGAGCAAAGAAUGAUGCAAACUAUACCACACCCCUGGUUAUCCCUCCUCUGGGUAUUGAGCUGAGGACUAAUGGCUACGUUCAGGUUUUAGCUGCCAACCUGACUUCCUAAUACCAUGUGCUUCUGGAC
This is a long non-coding RNA of Oncorhynchus keta (chum salmon), 230 nucleotides long. RefSeq lists it as uncharacterized. Lineage: Eukaryota; Metazoa; Chordata; Actinopteri; Salmoniformes; Salmonidae. The record is from RefSeq and is a predicted model, not a curated record. The transcript has 3 exons.